GCAGUAGCCACGGUAAUACGUAGGGUGCAAGCGUUAAUCGGAAUUACUGGGCGUAAAGCGUGCGCAGGCGGUUAUAUAAGACAGAUGUGAAAUCCCCGGGCUCAACCUGGGAACUGCAUUUGUGACUGUAUAGCUAGAGUACGGCAGAGGGGGAUGGAAUUCCGCGUGUAGCAGUGAAAUGCGUAGAUAUGCGGAGGAACACCGAUGGCGAAGGCAAUCCCCUGGGCCUGUACUGACGCUCAUGCACGAAAGCGUGGGGAGCAAACAGGAUUAGAUACCCCAGUAGUCCCUGUCUCUUAUCA
Molecule: ribosomal RNA, 302 nt
Filed under: uncultured bacterium
Lineage: Bacteria
Description: partial 16S ribosomal RNA
Rfam family: Bacterial small subunit ribosomal RNA
Source: RNAcentral